This 253-nucleotide ribosomal RNA is filed under the name uncultured bacterium. Its description in RNAcentral is "partial 16S ribosomal RNA". It matches the Rfam family "Bacterial small subunit ribosomal RNA", at positions 524 to 776 of the family's 1533-position model. The record is from RNAcentral.
UACGUAGGGUGCAAGCGUUGUCCGGAUUUAUUGGGUUUAAAGGGUGCGUAGGCGGCUCCUUAAGUCAGCGGUGAAAUCCCGGGGCUCAACCCCGGAACUGCCGUUGAUACUGGCGGGCUUGAGUUCGGUCGAGGCGGGCGGAACUGGUGGUGUAGCGGUGAAAUGCUUAGAUACCACCAAGAACCCCGAUUGCGUAGGCAGCUCGCUUGGCCGAAACUGACGCUGAGGCACGAAAGCGUGGGGAGCGAACAGG